This 484-nucleotide ribosomal RNA is filed under the name Hippocampus comes (tiger tail seahorse). Its description in RNAcentral is "partial 16S ribosomal RNA". It matches the Rfam family "Bacterial large subunit ribosomal RNA", at positions 1922 to 2558 of the family's 2925-position model. The record is from RNAcentral. Lineage: Eukaryota; Metazoa; Chordata; Actinopteri; Syngnathiformes; Syngnathidae.
GUUUAACGGCCGCGGCUAUUUUGACCGUGCAAAGGUAGCGCAAUCACUUGUCUUUUAAAUAAAGACCUGUAUGAAUGGCAUAACGAGGGCUAAACUGUCUCCUUACUCCAGUUAAUGAAAUUGAUCUUCCCGUGCAGAAGCGGGAAUUAACUCAUAAGACGAGAAGACCCUGUGGAGCUUUAGAUGAAUAGACGAGUUUAUUAAUAAUUAAACCUUGUAAAAGAUGAUAAAUCUAUAACCUCAUCUUAAUAUCUUUAGUUGGGGCGACCGCGGAGUAAAACAAAACCUCCGUGAGGAUUGAGAUGAAAACCUUACACCCAAGAAAGUCAUUUSUAAGUACCAAAAUAUUUGACCAACAGAUCCGGCACUGACCGAUCAACGAACCUAGUUACCCCAGGGAUAACAGCGCAAUCCUCUUUAAGAGUCCCUAUCGACAAGAGGGUUUACGACCUCGAUGUUGGAUCAGGACAUCCUAAUGGUGUAG